UACGUAGGGUGCGAGCGUUAAUCGGAAUUACUGGGCGUAAAGCGUGCGCAGGCGGUUAUAUAAGACAGAUGUGAAAUCCCCGGGCUCAACCUGGGAACGGCGCUUGUGACUGCACGGCUAGAGUACGGCAGAGGGAGGUGGAAUUCCACGUGUAGCAGUGAAAUGCGUAGAUAUGUGGAGGAACACCGAUGGCGAAGGCAGCCCCCUGGGCCAGUACUGACGCUCAUGCACGAAAGCGUGGGGAGCAAACAGGAUUAGAUACCCCAGUAGU
RNAcentral lists this ribosomal RNA (271 nucleotides) under uncultured bacterium. Its description in RNAcentral is "partial 16S ribosomal RNA". It matches the Rfam family "Bacterial small subunit ribosomal RNA", at positions 524 to 794 of the family's 1533-position model. The record is from RNAcentral.